AAUUGAGGGGGGCUGCUCCUAGUACGAGAGGACCGGAGUGGACGCAUCACUGGUGUUCGGGUUGUCAUGCCAAUGGCACUGCCCGGUAGCUAAAUGCGGAAAAGAUAAGUGCUGAAAGCAUCUAAGCACGAAACUUGCCCCGAGAUGAGUUCUCCCUGAGACUUUGAGUCUCCUGAAGGAACGUUAAAGACGAUGACGUUGAUAGGCCGGGUGUGUAAGCGCAGCGAUGCGUUGAGCUAACCGGUACUAAUGAACCGUGAGGCUUAACCUUACAACGCCGAAGCUGUU
This 288-nucleotide ribosomal RNA is filed under the name Salmonella enterica. RNAcentral describes it as "partial 23S ribosomal RNA". It matches the Rfam family "Bacterial large subunit ribosomal RNA", at positions 2660 to 2925 of the family's 2925-position model. Lineage: Bacteria; Pseudomonadati; Pseudomonadota; Gammaproteobacteria; Enterobacterales; Enterobacteriaceae. RNAcentral also lists the same sequence under 3 other names. The record is from RNAcentral.